This 875-nucleotide ribosomal RNA is filed under the name Hirsutella flava. Its description in RNAcentral is "eukaryotic LSU rRNA". The stretch from base 1 to 588 matches the Rfam family "Eukaryotic large subunit ribosomal RNA", at positions 52 to 664 of the family's 3401-position model. Lineage: Eukaryota; Fungi; Ascomycota; Sordariomycetes; Hypocreales; Ophiocordycipitaceae. The record is from RNAcentral.
UUAUCUAGAGAGACCACAGGGAUUGCCCCAGUAACGGCGAGUGAAGCGGCAACAGCUCAAAUUUGAAAUCUGGCCCCCCCCCCCGCGGGGACCGAUUUUUUGUUUACGAAGGAUGCUUUUGGCGCGCUUCCUUCCGACUUCCCUGGAACGGGACUCCAUAGAGGGAGACACCCCCGUCUGGACGGAUACCUACCCUCUGUAUCCUUCCUUCAACCAAUCAAGUAGUUUGGGAUGGCUGCUCUGAAUGGGAGGUGUAUGCCUUCUAUAGCUAAAUAUUGGACACAGACCGAUAGCGCACAAAUAGAUUGAUCGAAAAAUGAAAAUUUCUUUGAAAAGAGGGUUAAACCGUACGUGAAAUUGUUGAAAGGGAAUUGCUUGCGAACAGACUUGGGCGGGAUCAUCCGUCCGUCUCUCUCGCCGGCUCCCUCCGCCCCGCCCCGGCCUCAAUUCGCUGCGGGGGAGAAAGAAAGCGGCAACGAGCGUCGCCCCCCAGGGAUAUUUAUCGGCCGGCAAUGCACGGCGCGGGACUGACGGUCGCUCGUCCGUCCGGAUGGUGGCUGAAUGAACGCCAACGACCGAUCCUGAUUGACGCACCGACCAAUCAUCCUCCUACGCAUGCGAUCGGUCGGCUGACCCCUACCCACGCUGAAAGAGAACGCACGUGAGAGACACACUCUGCAUCAUCGAUCGAUCCAGAUGUUCGUCUCAUGGAUGUUGAUUAAGAACAUAACAUACGGCGGACGCCACACAGAAAAGAAGAGCUAUCUCUGCGUGUGGUGGAAUGCCAGCCGGAAGGCAUCUGUCUGAUGCACGCCGCGAGUUCUGUAUCUGUAGCGAUGUCCAAUCGAUUCAGAUCCAAUAGAAUGAGUGGCAGU